GUCGAACGAGAAAGCCCUUCGGGGUUAGUAAAGUGGCGAACGGGUGAGUAACACGUGGGCAAUCUGCCCUUCGUUGGGGGACAACCGGGGGAAACCCCGGCUAAUACCCCGUAAGCUUGUCGGGUCACAUGGCCUGACAAGGAGAGGUAGCUUCGGCCAUCCGGCGAAGGAGGAGCCCGCGGUACAUUAGCUAGUUGGUGAGGUAACGGCUCACCAAGGCUACGAUGUAUAGCUGGUCUGAGAGGAUGAUCAGCCACACUGGGACUGAGACACGGCCCAGACUCCUACGGGAGGCAGCAGUCGGGAAUCUUGCACAAUGGGUGAAAGCCUGAUGCAGCAACACCGUGUGAGCGAUGAAGGCCCUAGGGUCGUAAAGCUCUGUUGUUGGGGACGAAGGGCGAAGGGUUAAUAGCCCUUAGCCUGACGGUACCCUUCGAGGAAGCCCCGGCUAACUACGUGCCAGCAGCCGCGGUAAUACGUAGGGGGCGAGCGUUGUCCGGAAUUAUUGGGCGUAAAGAGCGUGUAGGCGGCUUGGUGAGUCUGCUGUGAAACCUUGGGGCUCAACCCCAAGCGUGCAGUGGAUACUGUCAAGCUAGAGGAUGGUAGAGGCCAGUGGAAUUCCCAGUGUAGCGGUGAAAUGCGCAGAUAUUGGGAGGAACACCAGUAGCGAAGGCGGCUGGCUGGGCCAUUCCUGACGCUGAGACGCGAAAGCUAGGGGAGCGAACAGGAUUAGAUACCCUGGUAGUCCUAGCCGUAAACGAUGAACACUAGGUGUGGGGGGAGUCGAAUCCCUCCGUGCCGAAGCCAACGCGUUAAGUGUUCCGCCUGGGGAGUACGGCCGCAAGGCUAAAACUCAAAAGAAUUGACGGGGGCCCGCACAAGCAGCGGAGCAUGUUCUUUAAUUCGAUGCAACGCGAAGAACCCUUACCUGGGACUUGACAUGGCACUGCAAGCGCACGGAAACGUGUGACCUUC
This 975-nucleotide ribosomal RNA is filed under the name uncultured Actinomycetes bacterium. Its description in RNAcentral is "bacterial SSU rRNA". It matches the Rfam family "Bacterial small subunit ribosomal RNA", at positions 61 to 1018 of the family's 1533-position model. The record is from RNAcentral. Lineage: Bacteria; Bacillati; Actinomycetota; Actinomycetes.